This 799-nucleotide ribosomal RNA is filed under the name uncultured bacterium. Its description in RNAcentral is "bacterial SSU rRNA". It matches the Rfam family "Bacterial small subunit ribosomal RNA", at positions 8 to 796 of the family's 1533-position model. The record is from RNAcentral.
AGAGUUUGAUCAUGGCUCAGAACGAACGCUGGCGGCGUGGAUAAGACAUGCAAGUCGAACGCUUGUUUUCCGGUAGCAAUAUUGGGAAGCAGGAGUGGCGCAAGGGUGCGUAACACGUGGAUCAUCUGCCUGGAAGUCUGGAAUAAUUCGGCGAAAGCCGGACUAAUGCCGGAUGUGGUUGGAAGACUAAAGCUGGGGACCGCAAGGCCUGGCGCUUCCAGAUGAGUCCGCGGCCUAUCAGCUAGUUGGCGGGGUAAUGGCCCACCAAGGCUAAGACGGGUAGCUGGUCUGAGAGGACGACCAGCCUCACUGGAACUGAGACACGGUCCAGACACCUACGGGUGGCAGCAGUCGAGAAUUUUUCUCAAUGGGGGAAACCCUGAAGGAGCGACGCCGCGUGGGGGAUGAAGGGCUUCGGCCCGUAAACCCCUGUCAUUUGCGAACAAAUGUCAUGGUUGAACAAGCCAUGGCUUGAUUGUAGCGAAAGAGGAAGGGACGGCUAACUCUGUGCCAGCAGCCGCGGUAAUACAGAGGUCCCAAGCGUUGUUCGGAUUCACUGGGCGUAAAGGGUGCGCAGGUGGGUUGGCAAGUUCGAUGUGAAAGCCCCGGGCUUAACCCGGGAAUGGCAUUGAAUACUGCUGAUCUGGAGGAUUGGAGGGGGGACUGGAAUUCUUGGUGUAGCAGUGAAAUGCGUAGAUAUCAAGAGGAACACCAGUGGCGAAGGCGAGUCCCUGGACAAUACCUGACACUGAGGCACGAAAGCCAAGGGAGCAAACAGGAUUAGAUACCCUAGUAGUCC